AGAAUCUCCAUGGGAAACACAACUAAACAGCUCUGCUCUCAAUUGGGGUUGAGACAAAUGAAGAUUAUCACCUCAGUGAUCAUCAUCAGCCACAUUACAGAUAAAACUCCAUUCUACCCUCAUGCCAGACAGUCAGUUAACCAGCAGAAAAUAAUAACCAAAGAUGGUUGAGUGUGUACAUCACAAGGCAAUAAGAGAAAUUUCCCAGUUAUCCUGUCCUUUCUUGUUCCUGGAAAAUGACACCUGAAAUUAAUCAAGUAGCCUUGGAAAUCACAGAUGCAGAGAGUCAUGGGGAUAAGAGUUUUCAGACAUUAUCAUUUUUCUCCUGAUAAACCAUCUGUGACAUGGAGACCUUGAAGCUGGGAGUUCUGGCCACAAUGCUCAAUAGACUGUGCACAGAGCUUUUUCAGAGAACUGCAGGGCUUCCUGGUGUACUGGCCUCCCCAGGAUUACUUGGAAGGCAAUGGAAAGCUAUUGCCUAUCAAACUCGGAUGAAAAACUGUGGAAGAACUGCCAGCAACUGGGAUAGCAUGGUACCUCUGCCAU
This 546-nucleotide long non-coding RNA is filed under the name Ictidomys tridecemlineatus (thirteen-lined ground squirrel). Its description in RNAcentral is "lncRNA (ENSSTOG00000033775.1)". Lineage: Eukaryota; Metazoa; Chordata; Mammalia; Rodentia; Sciuridae. The record is from RNAcentral.